Non-coding RNA from Cladochytrium tenue, 72 nucleotides. The record is from the annotation of a GenBank genome assembly. NCBI's taxonomy places the organism in Eukaryota, Fungi, Chytridiomycota, Chytridiomycetes, Cladochytriales, Cladochytriaceae.
GGAGAUGUAGUUUAAUGGUAAAAUGGCAUCUUGUCAAGAUGUACGAUGUGGGUUCGAGUCCCAUCAUCUUCA